CCUACGGGCGGCAGCAGUGAGGAAUAUUGGUCAAUGGGCGGAAGCCUGAACCAGCCAAGUAGCGUGCGGGAUGAAGGCCCUACGGGUCGUAAACCGCUUUUGCACGGGGAUAACACCCUCCACCUCUGUAGGUUUGCCGGCACCGCGCGAAUAAGGGCCGGCUAAUUCCGUGCCAGCAGCCGCAGUAAUACGGAGGAUCCGAGCGUUUUCCGGAUUUACUGGGUGUAAAGGGAGCGUAGAUGGGUUGUUAAGUCAGUUGUGAAAGUUUGCGGCUCAACCGUAAAAUUGGAAUUGAUACUGGUAGCCUUGAGUACAGUUGAGGUAGGCGGAAUUCGUGGUGUAGCGGUGAAAUGCUUAGAUAUCACGAAGAACUCCGGUUGCGAAGGCAGCCUACUAAACUGCCACUGACAGUGAUGCUCGAAAGUGUGGGUAUCAAACAGGAUUAGAUACCCGAGUAGUC
Molecule: ribosomal RNA, 460 nt
Filed under: uncultured bacterium
Lineage: Bacteria
Description: partial 16S ribosomal RNA
Rfam family: Bacterial small subunit ribosomal RNA
Source: RNAcentral